Molecule: ribosomal RNA, 497 nt
Filed under: uncultured bacterium
Lineage: Bacteria
Description: partial 16S ribosomal RNA
Rfam family: Bacterial small subunit ribosomal RNA
Source: RNAcentral
GAUGAACGCUGGCGGCGUGCCUAAUACAUGCAAGUCGAGCGAACGGACGAGAAGCUUGCUUCUCUGAUGUUAGCGGCGGACGGGUGAGUAACACGUGGAUAACCUACCUAUAAGACUGGGAUAACUUCGGGAAACCGGAGCUAAUACCGGAUAAUAUUUUGAACCGCAUGGUUCAAAAGUGAAAGACGGUCUUGCUGUCACUUAUAGAUGGAUCCGCGCUGCAUUAGCUAGUUGGUAAGGUAACGGCUUACCAAGGCAACGAUGCAUAGCCGACCUGAGAGGGUGAUCGGCCAAACUGGAACUGAGACACGGUCCAGACUCCUACGGGAGGCAGCAGUAGGGAAUCUUCCGCAAUGGGCGAAAGCCUGACGGAGCAACGCCGCGUGAGUGAUGAAGGUCUUCGGAUCGUAAAACUCUGUUAUUAGGGAAGAACAUAUGUGUAAGUAACUGUGCACAUCUUGACGGUACCUAAUCAGAAAGCCACGGCUAACUACGUG